This 398-nucleotide ribosomal RNA is filed under the name Mediodactylus kotschyi (Kotschy's gecko). Its description in RNAcentral is "partial large subunit ribosomal RNA". It matches the Rfam family "Bacterial large subunit ribosomal RNA", at positions 1943 to 2529 of the family's 2925-position model. Lineage: Eukaryota; Metazoa; Chordata; Lepidosauria; Squamata; Gekkonidae. The record is from RNAcentral.
UAACCGUGCAAAGGUAGCGUAAUCACUUGCCCCUUAAAUAGGGGCCUGUAUGAACGGCUAACUGAGGGCACACCUGUCUCCUGAUGCCAACUAAUGAAACUGAUCUUCUGGUACAAAAGCCAGGAUAUACCCACAAGACGAGAAGACCCUGUGGAGCUUAUAACCUAAUCACUACUAAUCACCACUUAGUCCUAGUGAGCGGUUUAAGUUGGGGCGACUACGGAGCAAAACAAACCCUCCAAGAAACCAGGCUAACCCCCCCCCCUACAAGGCACACGCGCCAACAAGACACCCUAUUUUAUGACCCAGUCCCACUGACCAACGAACCAAGUUACCCCAGGGAUAACAGCGCCAUCCCCCUCCAGAGUCCAUAUCACCAGGGGGGUUUACGACCUCGA